UAGGGAAUUUUCGUCAAUGGGCGCAAGCCUGAACGAGCGAUGCCGCGUGAGUGAAGAAGGCCUUCGGGUCGUAAAGCUCUGUUGGACGGGGGAAAAAAGGCAUCUGCAGGAAAUGGUAGAUGACAGAUGGUGCCCCGCCAGAAAGUCACGGCUAACUACGUGCC
Molecule: ribosomal RNA, 164 nt
Filed under: uncultured bacterium
Lineage: Bacteria
Description: partial 16S ribosomal RNA
Rfam family: Bacterial small subunit ribosomal RNA
Source: RNAcentral